Molecule: ribosomal RNA, 247 nt
Filed under: uncultured bacterium
Lineage: Bacteria
Description: partial 16S ribosomal RNA
Rfam family: Bacterial small subunit ribosomal RNA
Source: RNAcentral
AUACGUAAGGGGCGAGCGUUGUUCGGAAUUAUUGGGUGUAAAGGGCGCGUAGGCGGUCUUGCAAGUCUGGUGUUUAAGGCUACGGCUUAACCGUGGUUUGGCGCUGGAAACUGUUAGACUUGAGUUUAGGAGGGGGAGCUGGAAUUCCAGGUGUAGGGGUGAAAUCUGUAGAUAUCUGGAAGAACACCGGUGGCGAAGGCGAGCUCCUGGCCAUAAACUGACGCUGAGGCGCGAAAGCGUGGGGAGC